GGGGGGGGGUUGGCAGACGACCUUUGGGGAUUGAGAGGUGAUUGACGGCAGCUUUGAGAGAAGAGGAGACGCACGGAAAGGCAGCCGCCCUGCACGGUUCAAGGCAUGAAUGUUUAGGUGGCUUUCUUCAAGCGUACGGUUCAUAGGUCAUCAAGCAGCAGUGGAGAUGAAAGGCCUUCAAGGACUGUCUAUGGGAUGCUGCAACUUCCAGAACAGUUCCAGAUUUUGAAUUGAGAUGCUUGAACUUAAAAGUUAUAAUCAAGAAGCCUAUGACUAGUUGGCAGCCAUUCCUCCCAUUCACUGGUCCAGGUCUCACUUUACAGGUAGGGCCAAGAAUGAUACUUUAUUGAACAACAUGUGUGAAUGCUUGAAUGCACAAACUAUGGAUGGGGGAGAUAAGCCUAUCAUUUCAGCUUUAGAAUAUGUGAGGGAGUAUUUGAUGCAGAGAAUUGUCAUUGUCAUCAGGGCGUUAGGCAAGUGCAAUGGUCCUCUUACCCCACAUGCUACUGAAAGACUAAUAGAUAUUAAAGAACAAGCAGUUAAUUACAGUGAUAUUUGUAACUUAGCAAUGGAGUAAGGAGUGAAUCAAUAAUUGUACAUUUUAUUUCAUGCACCAAAUGAAAGGUAUGAAUGAUC
RNAcentral lists this long non-coding RNA (636 nucleotides) under Helianthus annuus (common sunflower). Lineage: Eukaryota; Viridiplantae; Streptophyta; Magnoliopsida; Asterales; Asteraceae. The record is from RNAcentral.